RNA transcript from Dermochelys coriacea (leatherback sea turtle), 3595 nucleotides. It is a transcript of the gene named polyamine oxidase, with no coding region annotated. The record is from RefSeq and is a predicted model, not a curated record. The transcript has 5 exons. Lineage: Eukaryota; Metazoa; Chordata; Testudines; Dermochelyidae.
CCAAGGAUGGAGACCGCGGGCGGCGGCGGGGCCCGCCCCCGGGUGCUGGUGGUGGGCGCGGGGCUCGCGGGGCUCGGCGCUGCGCAGCGGCUCUCCGGCUCCCGAGCCUUCCCCCACCUGCGCCUGCUGGAGUCCACGGGCCGGGCCGGGGGCCGCGUCUGCUCCCAGCGAUUCGGGAGUGAAGUGGUGGAGAUGGGUGCACACUGGAUCCAUGGGCCCUCCAAGGAGAACCCUGUCUUCCAGCUGGCGUCCGACUACGGGCUGCUCGACAAGGAAGCCAUGUCCGAAGAGAACCAGCAGAUUGAGGUGGGGGGCCACCCCUUCCUGCCCACGGUUUUCUACUCCAACACGGGGCGAGUCCUGAACCCAGAGCUGGGGGCGGGAGUGAGGAACCUGUUCUCCACCCUGCUGGACCAGACGCACAAGUUCCUGCACGUGCCGCAGGUCUCUGUGCCCAGUGUGGGUGCGUAUCUGCGGAAGGAGAUCGCCCAGCAGGUGAAGGAGUGGACGGACGAUGACGAAACCAAGUGGCUGAAGCUGGCUGUCCUCAACACGUACUUCAAGCUGGAGUGCAGCGUGAGUGGGACCCACAGCAUGGAUCACGUGGCGCUGGGGCCCUUUGGGGAGUACACCAUGCUCCCCGGCCUGGACUGCACCUUUCCUGGUGGCUAUGGAGGCCUGCCGGACUGCAUGCUGACCUCGCUGCCCAAGGAGAGCGUGGUGUUCCACAAGCCAGUGACGGUGGUUCGCUGGGGUGGCUCCUACCGGGAGGAGAGCCAAGAGGGGCAGACGUUCCCAGUCCAGGUGGAGUGCGAGGACGGCGAGAGGUUCCUGGCAGAUCACGUCAUCAUCACAGUGCCUCUAGAAAUUGCUUCACUUUGCUCACUGAAUUAAGCUGGCGAUUUCUCGAUCUGCAAAUAUCACUCAACAUUUCUAAAUGAAGAGAGAGCCUCUUCGUGUUAUUGUCACCAUGGAAAGCUUCACUUAUUGGGACACUGUCCUGUUUCGAGCCAUUUUCUGCAUCAGUUAUAUGCUUCUCCAAUUUUACUGGGAAUGUAAAGCUUUUCAUUGAAAACCUCUGUUCAAUGACAGCUUUGCAGGCAUAAAUGAUCCUGACAUAUAUUUGAUGAAAAUACUGUUUGGGGUCACUGAAAGUGUGAGGAAGGCUUCCUUGGUCAAGCCCUCUUUGUGGUUUGUGUUUUCUCGGGAAUGUGGGAUCAUCUAAAUAAAGAUUUCUUGCCUUAUCUAUGGUUGUUUCCCAGAAGUGAUUGUAUGAUGAGUUGGUGCUCACCCCACUCAACACCUCUUGCAACAGGCCAACUUUCUUCAUAACGCUUGCCAAUGACAUGUUUAGGUUUUGAAUUUUUGCAUUAACUUUUUCUACAGAACCCAUGCAUUUCACAAGAACUGUUAGUGUAAGGUGCGUUGAAAAAGAUUGAAGUUGCUUCGAGAAUCCACUGCAUUUUGAGCCAAAUUCAUCUGAAGAGUGACUAAAUUCAUCCAGGCAGUUCAUCAUGGCCUCGUAGUUGUUGAGCAGUGAUUUAAUGCUGCUGAUCCUUAGUGUCGAUCUUGUUGGGCACAAUGGUCGUAAAGAAGGCUCCCCUUCUCUCUGAAUGCUGCCAUAUGCUUUGGUGACUCCCUGAAGGCAUUGAUGAGAUCUUUCACCAUUGAAAACAUAUCACGACAUUCUGGAUGCAGGGCAUCCGGCGUAGCAAGGUUAAGGGAAUGUGCAGCACAAUGCAGAAGUUCUGCUCUUGGCUCUUGAUCCUUCACCGUGGCUUGGACCCCAGUAAAUUUGCCAGACACGUUACUGGCUCCAUCGUAACACUGCCCCCGGCAACUGGAAAAGGGCAAAUCACGCCUAAGAAGCAUAUCUUCCACAAUUUUGAAAAGAGAAGCAGCAUCCAUUGAGUCAGUUUGGUAAAACCCAAUAAACACCUCAUAAAUCUCCCAGUCUUCGCUAGAAAAGAAUCUUAAAGAAGAACUUACUCGUUCUUUUCUUGACGAAUCAGCAGUCUCAUCCAUUACAAUGGCGUAAAACUUAAAAGCCUUUAUCUUUUGCACAGUUUCUCUUAGCACCAUCAUUGCCAUCAUUUUGAUUAUUUCGUUAAUAACCUCAUGUGACAGUCACUUAUAUUUUGUGCGACUAGGCCACUGUCUCAGUUCCUCUGAAUCUGUGCUGCGAAGCAACAAGGGCUGCAUCAAAUUUGAACCACUCUCAUUAGGUCCACGUAAUGCUAUGCCUUGUUGAGGUAGGUGCUGAACACUGUUAAAAAAUUUGUACAGUUCAUUCCUAGCUGACUCUGAUUCUUUUCUGUAACUGGCUGACAUUAGUGCAGAAACAUUUACCUGCGAUUGCAGAGCAGCCUACUUCAUUACCGCUUCCUUGUGACAGGAGGAUUUUUCGUGUGCUGUAAAUCAGAGACAAUAUUAAGAUCUUCUUUUCAGAACAGUUUUUUCUCUGUCUAAUUUUCUGUUGUACUCCAAGCACAUAAAUCUUGAUAGCCAAGAUUGCUGAAAACUCCUGUUCUUACCUUGUCGUUUUGCCGUCACUUGCUGAAUGACCCUUUUUUUUUUUUUUUUUUUUCCUUUUUUUCUGGGUAACUUUUUAUUAAAAAUUUAUCCAUUGUUGAUUAUUAUUACUGGUCUUACAAAUCGAGAAUUUGUUGCAGGGAUAAAAUAAAGCUACAGUGCACCGGGGCCACAAGAUUGCGAGGGCCAAUUAAAAGUGGAAAGUCAGCAGCAGCACUCGCCUGCUUCAAUAUGUUAUGUGUUGUCGUACGCUUACACAACCAAUUAUAUACUUUAUUUUAAAGAAUAUAAAAUAAUCAAGGAUUGUGGUAAACACAAUCAUCCCCCAAACUGAACGCCGAAGUUGCGUGUUUUUUCCCUCAGGCACCCAAACAGUAUCCGGAUGUCUUUCAAAUGAAUCCGGAUCAGGGCCUUAUUUGUAAGAGAUGCAACGGUGCAGAGUGGGUAAAUUCACGACACAAACUUUCAACCUUCUGCUUAGACGAUGACGAAAAUGACACCAGUCUGCAUCGCAGUCCCGCGUCAUUGUCAUCAGUGUGUUUGCAGACUGUCUGAAGCCUGCGCGUCGCGAAAGCACCUUGAUAAUUUAGCCUGCUUUCACGAUGCAGGGUUGCGCUACCUUAAGAAAUAGGGUUAAGCGUAUCCUUCAAGUUGAUGCUCAGUGGACAAUUGUGAACAGAGAUAUUGUUCACAUCAAAAUGUAUGUAAAAUAUAAGCCCAAACAUGGGUGGACCCAGGCCCACGGUUCUAAACAUUGGUGGAGCACGGGCACCACGGGCCCAUAUAACUCACCGCCUAUGUUCGUAGGGUUCCUUAAAGAGCAUCAUGAGACCUUUAUCGACCCUCCGCUGCCGCCCCGGAAAGCAGACGCCAUUAGACAGCUGGGCUUCGGGACGAACAACAAGAUCUUCCUGGAGUUUGAGCAGCCGUUCUGGCCACCGGACUGCCAGCUGAUCAAGGUUGUCUGGGAGGACGAGUCUCCUCUGGUAGAGGCUGGGACUGACCUGCAGGCUGGCUGGUUCAGAAAACUUAUCUGCUUCUUAGUCCUCCAGCCACCGGAACG